RNAcentral lists this long non-coding RNA (2552 nucleotides) under Zostera marina. Its description in RNAcentral is "long non-coding RNA (ZMAR_LNC000115)". Lineage: Eukaryota; Viridiplantae; Streptophyta; Magnoliopsida; Alismatales; Zosteraceae. The record is from RNAcentral.
UCACUUUUGAAAAAUAAAAAAAAAAUUGAAAUUAAUAUGAAAUUGAAAAUAAAAUUAAAAAUGAAAUUGAUAUUGAAAUUGAUAUUGAAAUUGAAAUUGAAUUUGAAGUUUAAUAAUUAAUGUAGAACAAAAAUUAACUUCGACAAUCACUAAUUUAACUCAGGUAAGCGCAAGUUCGGAUUUUGAGCGAGCAUUGCGGAGUUGUAUUGUUGGAAAAACGCCAUUUGACGAGCCAUAAACUCUUCAUUCUGACGAGCCAUAAACUUUUCAAAUCACAAAUUUGUAAAUCCGCAAAACAAACCUUCAACCUAAAAUAAACAAACACUAAAUUAAAAUGAAUUAAACCUAAAUAACAUAAAUCAUGUACACUUAAUUAUUCAAUAACACUUCAAUAACAUAAAUCAUGUACACUAAAUAACAUAAAUCAUUCAUUAUUCAAUAACACUCAAUAGUAACAAAUAACAAUAACACAUACAUAAAUAACAAUACACUUAAAAUAAAAUUCAGUAAGAUUGACUGGAAAUCUAUUUUAUUUUAAAUCAUACACACAUGACACAUGAUAAUUAAAUAAAAAUCAUUAAGCUGGACUGACUAAAUGUUAUUUUAAACAAGUUGGUUGGGGAUUUAGAUAACACAAUGAAUGUUUUAUUAUUUAUCAUUAUUGAUUUAUUUUAUUUAUUAUGUUUGUGUGUCAGCAGGACAUGUUUUAUUCCAGCAAACAUGUUUUAUUAUGUCUGUGUAUAUAUUCCAGCAAACAUGUAUAUAUUCCAGCAAAUGUUUUAAUAUCAACAUUGAUCAACACAGCCUAUCAAUGACAUAAAUAAGGAUGCAAACAAAAAUAACAAAACUUUAGGCUUGCUAAAAACAGAUAAGAUAAAUAUAGAAAGCAACAGGAUCAUCAUGGUAUUUUAUUUGAGAGAAAUCUGAUUUAAACUUUAGGAUCACUAAAACACAGAUAAGAUAAACAUAGAAAGCAACAAGAUCAUCAUGGUAUUUUAUUUAAGAGAAAUCUGAUUUAAACCUUAGGAUUGCUACAACACAUAUAAGAUACACAUAGAAAGCAAAAGAGCAUCAUGAUAUUUUAUUUGAGAGAAAUCUGAUUUAAACUAACUACUCUUAAGUCUUAACAGUAGCUAAAUAUACCAUUGGUUAUCUCCUUGCCUCUCUACACCGACAGAUCUACCAUCUACAAUCAUAGAUCCAAAACCACCCCAAUAAAACCAUAACAAUUAUCAAAUUAACUAUUUAUUUUUCUGACCAGAACACUAAGAGAUCCACCGCUUAUGGUAUUCUCCUUCUAUGUGAAAAUGAUUUCACAACUAAAAUCUAAAAGAAGAAAAAGAAACACAUCGAUCAGAAAUCAAUUAAUAUAUCCUACCGAUAUACCAUUUACAAUCAUCGAUCCGAUAUCACUUCAAUAAAGCAACAACAAUUAUCAUAACAAUUGAUUCUAUUUAUAACUUUCACAAAUCAUAACUUUCACAAAUAACAACAAUAACAAAAUUACAAAGAACAAACAAAGAAACCCCAAACCCCAAAUCCCAAAAUUACAAAGAACGAAGAAAAAGAAAGAUUACAAACAAAGAACAAUAAUAACUUUCACAAAUAAUAAAUCCCAAAAUCAAAAAACCCCAAAUCAUAAACCCCAAAUCAUAAACAACAACAAAAAAUGAGAGAAAAAGAUGAAGAAGAUAACACAAUAACAAAAGAAGAUAACUAAUGGAGGAUGAAGAACAUACCUUUAGGAAGAACUUCGAAGAUCACCGGAGAUAAAUGGCUGGAAGAUCACCGGAGACAAGUUGGGGGAGGGUUUGGUAGGAGUGGGAGUAGUGGAGACGUUUUUGGGGGAAAAGAAAAUGAAAGAAAUCUGGAAUUUUUUUUCUUAUAUAAAAAUUUUCCGGCGGCCUGGCCGUCGGGAAAUACUUAAGUUUCGUUUGACUUAGUUUGACUGUACGGGGGACCACGGCGGCGCAAGUUGUAAAUUUAGAGUUUUCCAAAAAUCCUGGCGGCCAGGCCGCUGGCUACUGAAAAAAACAAGCGGGAAAAAGUAUCCAGCGGCCAAGCCGCCAGCAAUUUUUCUCCCGACCGUUGAGGGUUUUAGUAUGCCGGCGGCCAGGCCGCCGGAAAAUUUCUUCCCGACCGUUGGUGAAUUGGAGCUGGCGGCCAGGCCGCUGACAUUUUUUACAAAAAAAUAUUCCGUCGGCCUGGCCGUCAGCAAAUUUCUCUCAUUUACGAGGGAAAAUUAUGCAGGCGGACAAGUGUAACCUUCCGUCGGCCUGGCCGCCGGGAGAUGGGCGCCAGAACUGCGCUGAUUUUUUGUAGUGAAACAACACUUCUAACUUGUAGAGAUGAACAAGAAGAUUAGAAGAAGAAGUUGGUGAGCUUUUGAAGCUUUGGAAAGCUAGGACACUUGAACACUUGAAAGCUUGGAAGCUUGGAGGCAAAAACGUGUGGGCAAGUGUGGAGUGAAAGCUCUUGAGUUUGCUUGUAGUGUGGUGAGUGAAAAUGAGGGGUUUACCCUUCUAUUUAUAGCCUUGGCCACUCAAUGUCCA